RNAcentral lists this ribosomal RNA (253 nucleotides) under uncultured bacterium. RNAcentral describes it as "partial 16S ribosomal RNA". It matches the Rfam family "Bacterial small subunit ribosomal RNA", at positions 524 to 776 of the family's 1533-position model. The record is from RNAcentral.
UACGUAGGGGGCAAGCGUUGUCCGGAUUUAUUGGGCGUAAAGAGCGUGUAGGCGGUCUGGUAGGUCCGUUGUGAAAACUCGAGGCUCAACCUCGAGACGCCGAUGGAAACCCUCAGACUAGAGUCCGGAAGAGGAGAGUGGAAUUCCUGGUGUAGCGGUGAAAUGCGCAGAUAUCAGGAAGAACACCCGUGGCUAAGGCGGCUCUCUAGUACGGUACUGACGCUGAGACGCGAAAGCGUGAGGAGCGAACAGG